GUAGGGAAUAUUGGGCAAUGGAGGCAACUCUGACCCAGCCAUGCCGCGUGCAGGAUGACGGCCCUCUGGGUUGUAAACUGCUUUUAUACGGGAAGAAAAAAUACUACGUGUAGUAUACUGACGGUACCGUAAGAAUAAGGACCGGCUAACUCCGUGCCAGCAGCCGCGGUAAUACGGAGGAUCCAAGCGUUGUCCGGAUUUAUUGGGUUUAAAGGGUGCGUAGGCGGAUCUUUAAGUCAGUGGUGAAAGCCUGCAGCUUAACUGUAGAAUUGCCAUUGAAACUGAAGAUCUUGAAUGUGGUUAAAGUAGGCGGAAUGUAUCAUGUAGCGGUGAAAUGCUUAGAUAUGAUACAGAACACCGAUAGCGAAGGCAGCUUGCUGAACCAUUAUUGACGCUGAGGCACGAAAGCGUGGGGAGCGAACAGGAUUAGAAACCCUUGUAGUCC
This 445-nucleotide ribosomal RNA is filed under the name uncultured bacterium. RNAcentral's name for it is "bacterial SSU rRNA". It matches the Rfam family "Bacterial small subunit ribosomal RNA", at positions 354 to 796 of the family's 1533-position model. The record is from RNAcentral.